CGGACCCGCACAAGCAGCGGAGCGUGUGGUUAAUUCGAGGCUACACGAAGAACUUACCAGGUUUGACAUGCAAGUGGUAGGAAUCCGAAAGGUGACCGACCCUUCGGGAGCUUGCACAGGUGCUGCAUGGCUGUCGUCAGCUCGUGUCGUGAGAUGUUCGGUUAAGUCCGCUAACGAGCGCAACCCUCGUCGUGUGUUAUACGUGUCACACGAUACUGCCGGUAUCAAGCCGGAGGAAGGUGGGGAUGAUGUCAAGUCAGCAUGGCCUUUAUAUCCUGGGCUACACACACGCUACAAUGGCAGAUACAAUAGGUUGCGAAACCGCGAGGUGGAGCCAAUCCUCAAAGUCUGUCUCAGUUCAGAUUGUAGGCUGCAACUCGCCUGCAUGAAGUUGGAGUUGCUAGUAAACGCAGGUCAGCUAUACUGCGUUGAAUACGUUCCCGGGGUUU
Molecule: ribosomal RNA, 449 nt
Filed under: uncultured Leptolinea sp.
Lineage: Bacteria; Bacillati; Chloroflexota; Anaerolineae; Anaerolineales; Anaerolineaceae
Description: bacterial SSU rRNA
Rfam family: Bacterial small subunit ribosomal RNA
Source: RNAcentral